CCAUCAUCUUUCUUUUCUGUUGUUAUAUACUGAAAUAUUACUAAAUAUUUAUUCAGAAUAUAUACGUGAUAAGUGUUCUCUUGUUAUUGACAGUAAUAGAGUGUACUGUAUUUAUCUGCUUUUAUUUUUUAAAUUACAUAUCUCCACAACACAUUUACAGGUAGCUGACAGGCUAAAUGGCUUUUCCACUGCGUCAGGUACCAUACUUUAAGUACAGUACUUUUCUUUUUUCAGUGACUUCCGAUCAAGUUCCAGUAGCAAAAGUUCCAGGGCCUAAAGUACCAAAGCUGUGAUACUUUUUUGGUACUUCAGUACCUUAGGAUACGUAGAACUUGCAAAUGAGUUCAUUGUAGAUUGGUUAUGCAAAUAGCCUGCCUCUGAAACACAAUGAAAAGGCCAUCUUGAAAAAAGUUACAAACUCAGAAAACAACGAUACACAAAGUUAAAAAAAAAAGUUAGAAAAAAGUUAAUGUAUGUGUGGACAAAUAAAGAGACCCAAGCUCAGGCCUAGAGUGGCCAAUUGUACAAACAUUCUUUUCUCUGGAUUUGAGGUUUUAUCAAAUCCUUGCCCAGUUGUAGCAAAUGGAAAAAAACAAUGUUGGUUACUUGUACUAUUGUUCAAUAUCUCGGACGUCUCCCCUUAUGAUACAUUUUUCAUUUGGAUGGCACUGAAUCCAUAUUGGGACAAAUGAAAGCUCCCAAGGUAACUGUCUUAAAAAACUGGGCAAGGAAUUGAUAAGACCUCAAAGCCAAAGUGCUAUUUUGUGAAAAUGGUAAGGUAAAAUUUGACCAGUUUUCUUUUGGAAAUAGCCAAGAACCUCCACUUUCAAAAAGUAUGACUUAUUUAUAUCUUAUGGGAAAAUUCUGAGAAAGACCUGUCAAAAUUGGCUAAUAUAUGCAGACACAUAUAUUACCAUAGAUUUCAAAGUGCAUUUUCUUAAAAAUGGUACAGUAAAUUUUGGCCAAAUUUUGCCUAAAAAUAUCCUUGGGCCUUACCUUUCAGAAGGUUUACACUACGCUGGGCGGUAUACCGGUUCAUACGGAAAAACGUUUUUAUUAUUGUUAUGAUUUUUCAACAGUAUUUUUCAUACAGUAUAGCGCAAUACCGGUUUAAAUAGCCUGCACAAUGUUCGGAAAGUGGCGUAGCUGGAAACUGGGGAUCCUUUUUCACUGCUGCACCUCUAAAAAUGUACCGCGAAAGAUCAGAAACGGAAGAUAUAGCUGACGCUGAAGUUGAAAUUUGGUUGUCAAAAAAACGACUCUCAAAUACUAAUCGAUAUUAAAAAUUAAUAUCUGAUUAGAUACUCAUUUUCACCAUCAUUGACACCAGCAGUGCGGUCUUCCCCUCAUUCACCACACUUCACACAGUACCACUAAAGCGCAGGCGCACGUGCAUGCACGCACGCCCACACUCAUGCAGCCCCUCCCUUCCUCUCAAUAGCCGCUGAACGCAUUUGCGCUGGUUAAUACACACAUACCAAGUUGGCUGAGCAUGGCAUAUGCUGUAAAGAAAAAACGCAAAAGUGCCAUUUGGAAGUAUUUUGCAGACGAGCGUGGAAAGGCUAAGGAUGUCGAUAAGCCUCUAUGCAAACAAUGCUACAAAGUUGUGGCGACAAAGUCAAGUAGCACAUCAAACCUGGUGAAGCAUCUUAAAGACCGACAAACAGGUGUUCUGACAAAAUAUCCUACCUAUCAAGCUGUCCUACCCAUUGUUACUGCACAUGCGCACAACUCAAAACGGCCAUGUUUUCAUGCUAAGAGUACACGCCUAAUAUUUUAUCCUAUCCUGAUCUCGUGUGUGCGGAAAAAAGGUUAGUUUUUCGUGCAAAAAUAAUCUAAUUUGGAGUCUCAAUUGAAGUCAUGUUUCAAGUCUUCAUUUACUACUUCUAAACUUUUGUAAACUGGCAUACAUGUGUAAACCUUGUCAGCUAAUUUUAUUCCUCGUGCAGUUAGUGGACACCACAUUCAUUUUUUAUCUCGAAGAAAGUAAUAUUGCACUACAUACUUGCUAACUGAGUGAUAACAUGGUUUGUGCUCACCACUACGGAAGCAGGUGCGCUGGAGUGAAUACAGAUAGCUUGCACCCUACUUGAACAUCGAGUUUAUUUUAGGGAAUGCUGAGGACCACUGCAUUGUUUGUUCUAUGUUAGAUGCCGAAGCUGACCGCAGCAUGAUUGAAAUGGUGCAGUGUAAUUCUUGCCACAGAUGGGCACAAGGCACAAUUUAAAUAUGCAAAAUGAGCCAUCUAAAUUAAAAUGCAAAAAAUGUGAGGAAAGCAUGUAACAAGAUCUCAUAAAUACAGCUAUCUUUUCCCCCCAUUUCUUCUUGUAUUCUGUGUUAUCAUUAAAUGAAUGUGUGCUGGAAGCAUAUUUUGAUGGCGUAAUUUGGUCAUCAGAACGUCCUACCUAUAUAAAUAUAAGCAGGAAGCAUGUUAUGAUAGUGUAAUUUAACCAUCAGAACAUCCUACGUAUAGAUAUGUACCGUGGAGGCAUAAACCACGCAUGGUAGUAUAUUCUGAUAAGGUAGCACAGAUUGAUAGACAUGACUAUAAAUUUAUGCUACGGUAGGAUGUUUUGAUAAAGUGGGAUAUUUUGUCAGAACACCGGUCUUUAUAAGAAAUUUUGCAAGGUCAGUAAAGCUCACAUUCCAGCACCACUGAACUAUUAAACGCAUCAAAAAUGUUAACUUGGCCGGCGCACACCUUAACAUUAGCCGUUUAUUUUAUUUAUCCUUUAUUUUACCAGGAAGGUUCCAUUGAGAUACAGUAUCUCUUCUUCCAGGACGAAGAUGGCAACAAAUAAGAAAAAUAAGACAAAAGUUUCAUAUACAUACACACAGAGAUGAUUAAUAUAAACAUAAACUAAAACAUAUACAAAUACUCAAACUCUCCAAAAAUACCUAGAAUAAAAAUUUUUUAUAUGAAACAAUGACACUAUUCUUUAAGCUCAGACUUUUUGAAAACAUUCAGAGAAGGCAAGUCUAAAUUCAAUAUAUUUUGUAAUAUAUUCCAUUCAUGAGAUACAUAAGAACAAAAGGCAGAUUUCCUCAGUUCUGUGCGUGUGGUGGGAGGCUGAAGGAGAAUUUUAACUGAUGUAUGUUGUAUGUAUUAGUGAGAAAUGUCAGCAAAUGUACUGAGGUAAUUUGCCCAUUAAAGCCUUUGCAAUAAAAACCAGGCAAUGCAUUUUCCUUCUAAGAAAAGGAAAUUUAUAGGCUGUUUGCCAACAAACACAUUAGCUGUUUUAUGAUUAAGGUAGCGGAUAGGCGCAAUGGCUAAAAAUAAAAUACCACAGUUAAUGUAGGAGCAAUACAAAAAUGUAAAACAAAAGUGUGUCCUGUAAAAUCAUAUAAAAUGUGGUAAACGCCCAGUCAUACUUUAAAAAAAAUAAUAAUAAUAAUAACGUUGUAUAGCGUGAAAACGAUAUAACUGAAAAAUACUGUGAUAUAAAUUUUUGGUUAUACCGCCCAGCUCUAGUUUACACUUAUUUAUACUUUAAGGGAAAAUUCUGAGAAAUUACCUGUCAAACUUGGCUCAUAACACAACGGAUUUCAAAUUGAAUUUUCUUUAAAAUGGUACAGUAAAAAACAUAUUUUGUCUGGAAAUAGCCGUGGACCUUUCAGAUGGUUUACAAGUUAUGAGAAAGUAAGGAAUGAAUUGUAUCUACGUACAUCCUGUACUUCAUACAUAUGAGUAUGCAUCCUUUUCUCAUGAUCAAUCACUUAGAGUCUGUUAUUUUCCUAAGCGCGAGUUGAUGCCAUAAUGUUACAUCUAUGCCUUCACCACAAAUUUUAAACGUAGAUGAUUUAACCGCGUAUCGGCAAAGUGCAGAUAGCUUGACCACAGUAGCACAUUGCGUAUUUUAAAUGGAAGCACACUCAGCUGGAGUGCAGAAAUGGUGUAAGAAGGAGCAAGAUCCGAUGAAUGUGGUAGGCAGGUAUCUGAAGUCUCGCAUUGACCAUGAGGCACACGUUUUGCCCCGAUGUAAUCUCACUCCAAAUUUUUUAUUCAAUUUCAGAAUCUUGCAUGUUUCAUUUUUAUAUUUGCUUUUAUUUUUCUGCUAUACAUAUGAAGAAAUUUUCUUCUUGAAAUGUCAGUAAUACAUUUAUCGGAAUAAUAAGACUAACUUUUCGUCAUUCACGUAAUUCCCUUAGAAUUAGAGCAAUGAGCUUGUGCUCUCUGAGCCAAUCGUAAUCAUUUUCAUCUCACAGACGGUGUGGUGCAUUUGGAUGACUUUCGAAGGACUGAGAAAUCCGGAAUCUAGUCAAGUAGUCAAGAAUUAAAUUUUGAUAACUCGUUAAUCCAUGUACAAAGAACACCCCCUGAUUGUAAACAAUAUAAAAGUUUAGGUCCUGACGUGAAAACAUUCAGUUAGUGUUUCAGGUGGAAGCUAAUUGUUGUUUGGUUUAUUUCGUUAUAAAAAAAUGUUUUAUUUUACUGAAUACUUAUGCUUUAAAAUAUUAAGAUAUUUCAU
Molecule: long non-coding RNA, 4469 nt
Organism: Brienomyrus brachyistius
Lineage: Eukaryota; Metazoa; Chordata; Actinopteri; Osteoglossiformes; Mormyridae
Exons: 3
Source: RefSeq, a predicted model, not a curated record